Molecule: non-coding RNA, 148 nt
Filed under: Gorilla gorilla gorilla (western lowland gorilla)
Lineage: Eukaryota; Metazoa; Chordata; Mammalia; Primates; Hominidae
Source: Rfam by way of RNAcentral
GCCAGGCGUGGUGGCGCUUGCCUGUAGUCCCAGGUACUUGGGAGGCUGAGACAGAAGGAUCGCUUGAACCUAGGAGGCAGAGGUUGCAGUGAGCCAAGAUCGUGCCACUGCACUCCAGCCUGGGCGACAAAGCGAGACUCUGUCUCAA